AGUGAACGCUGGCGGCAGGCCUAACACAUGCAAGUCGAACGGCAGCACAAGAGAGCUUGCUCUCUGGGUGGCGAGUGGCGGACGGGUGAGGAAUACAUCGGAAUCUACUCUGUCGUGGGGGAUAACGUAGGGAAACUUACGCUAAUACCGCAUACGACCUACGGGAGAAAGCAGGGGACCUUCGGGCCUUGCGCGAUUGAAUGAGCCGAUGUCGGAUUAGCUGGUUGGCGGGGUAAAGGCCCACCAAGGCGACGAUCCGUAGCUGGUCUGAGAGGAUGAUCAGCCACACUGGAACUGGUACACGGUCCAGACUCCUACGGGAGGCAGCAGUGGGGAAUAUUGGACAAUGGGCGCAAGCCUGAUCCAGCCAUACCGCGUGGGUGAAGAAGGCCUUCGGGUUGUAAAGCCCUUUUGUUGGGAAAGAAAUCCAGCUGGCUAAUACCCGGUUGGGAUGACGGUACCCAAAGAAUAAGCACCGGCUAACUUCGUGCCAGCCGCCGCGGUAA
RNAcentral lists this ribosomal RNA (506 nucleotides) under uncultured bacterium. RNAcentral's name for it is "partial 16S ribosomal RNA". It matches the Rfam family "Bacterial small subunit ribosomal RNA", at positions 29 to 523 of the family's 1533-position model. The record is from RNAcentral.